Molecule: transfer RNA, 87 nt
Filed under: Chitinophagaceae bacterium
Lineage: Bacteria; Pseudomonadati; Bacteroidota; Chitinophagia; Chitinophagales; Chitinophagaceae
Description: tRNA-Ser
Rfam family: tRNA
About the family: Transfer RNA (tRNA) molecules are approximately 80 nucleotides in length. Their secondary structure includes four short double-helical elements and three loops (D, anti-codon, and T loops).
Source: RNAcentral
GGAGAGUUGACAGAGUGGCAAUGUGUCAGCCUGCUAAGCUUGGGCUAUCGUUAAUUCGGUACAAAGGUUCGACUCCUUUACUCUCCG